UAAGCGUACACGGUGGAUGCCCUGGCAGUCAGAGGCGAUGAAGGACGUGCUAAUCUGCGAUAAGCGUCGGUAAGGUGAUAUGAACCGUUAUAACCGGCGAUUUCCGAAUGGGGAAACCCAGUGUGUUUCGACACACUAUCAUUAACUGAAUCCAUAGGUUAAUGAGGCGAACCGGGGGAACUGAAACAUCUAAGUACCCCGAGGAAAAGAAAUCAACCGAGAUUCCCCCAGUAGCGGCGAGCGAACGGGGAGGAGCCCAGAGCCUGAAUCAGUGUGUGUGUUAGUGGAAGCGUCUGGAAAGGCGCGCGAUACAGGGUGACAGCCCCGUACACAAAAAUGCACAUGCUGUGAGCUCGAUGAGUAGGGCGGGACACGUGGUAUCCUGUCUGAAUAUGGGGGGACCAUCCUCCAAGGCUAAAUACUCCUGACUGACCGAUAGUGAACCAGUACCGUGAGGGAAAGGCGAAAAGAACCCCGGCGAGGGGAGUGAAAAAGAACCUGAAACCGUGUACGUACAAGCAGUGGGAGCACAGAGCAAUCUGUGUGACUGCGUACCUUUUGUAUAAUGGGUCAGCGACUUAUAUUCUGUAGCAAGGUUAACCGAAUAGGGGAGCCGAAGGGAAACCGAGUCUUAACUGGGCGUUAAGUUGCAGGGUAUAGACCCGAAACCCGGUGAUCUAGCCAUGGGCAGGUUGAAGGUUGGGUAACACUAACUGGAGGACCGAACCGACUAAUGUUGAAAAAUUAGCGGAUGACUUGUGGCUGGGGGUGAAAGGCCAAUCAAACCGGGAGAUAGCUGGUUCUCCCCGAAAGCUAUUUAGGUAGCGCCUCGUGAAUUCAUCUCCGGGGGUAGAGCACUGUUUCGGCAAGGGGGUCAUCCCGACUUACCAACCCGAUGCAAACUGCGAAUACCGGAGAAUGUUAUCACGGGAGACACACGGCGGGUGCUAACGUCCGUCGUGAAGAGGGAAACAACCCAGACCGCCAGCUAAGGUCCCAAAGUCAUGGUUAAGUGGGAAACGAUGUGGGAAGGCCCAGACAGCCAGGAUGUUGGCUUAGAAGCAGCCAUCAUUUAAAGAAAGCGUAAUAGCUCACUGGUCGAGUCGGCCUGCGCGGAAGAUGUAACGGGGCUAAACCAUGCACCGAAGCUGCGGCAGCGACGCUGAUGCGUUGUUGGGUAGGGGAGCGUUCUGUAAGCCUGUGAAGGUGUGCUGUGAGGCAUGCUGGAGGUAUCAGAAGUGCGAAUGCUGACAUAAGUAACGAUAAAGCGGGUGAAAAGCCCGCUCGCCGGAAGACCAAGGGUUCCUGUCCAACGUUAAUCGGGGCAGGGUGAGUCGACCCCUAAGGCGAGGCCGAAAGGCGUAGUUGAUGGGAAACAGGUUAAUAUUCCUGUACUUGGUGUUACUGCGAAGGGGGGACGGAGAAGGCUAUGUUGGCCGGGCGACGGUUGUCCCGGUUUAAGCGUGUAGGCUGGUUUUCCAGGCAAAUCCGGAAAACUAAGGCUGAGGCGUGAUGACGAGGCACUACGGUGCUGAAGCAACAAAUGCCCUGCUUCCAGGAAAAGCCUCUAAGCAUCAGGUAACAUCAAAUCGUACCCCAAACCGACACAGGUGGUCAGGUAGAGAAUACCAAGGCGCUUGAGAGAACUCGGGUGAAGGAACUAGGCAAAAUGGUGCCGUAACUUCGGGAGAAGGCACGCUGAUAUGUAGGUGAAGUCCCUCGCGGAUGGAGCUGAAAUCAGUCGAAGAUACCAGCUGGCUGCAACUGUUUAUUAAAAACACAGCACUGUGCAAACACGAAAGUGGACGUAUACGGUGUGACGCCUGCCCGGUGCCGGAAGGUUAAUUGAUGGGGUCAGCGCAAGCGAAGCUCUUGAUCGAAGCCCCGGUAAACGGCGGCCGUAACUAUAACGGUCCUAAGGUAGCGAAAUUCCUUGUCGGGUAAGUUCCGACCUGCACGAAUGGCGUAAUGAUGGCCAGGCUGUCUCCACCCGAGACUCAGUGAAAUUGAACUCGCUGUGAAGAUGCAGUGUACCCGCGGCAAGACGGAAAGACCCCGUGAACCUUUACUAUAGCUUGACACUGAACAUUGAGCCUUGAUGUGUAGGAUAGGUGGGAGGCUUUGAAGUGUGGACGCCAGUCUGCAUGGAGCCGACCUUGAAAUACCACCCUUUAAUGUUUGAUGUUCUAACGUUGACCCGUAAUCCGGGUUGCGGACAGUGUCUGGUGGGUAGUUUGACUGGGGCGGUCUCCUCCUAAAGAGUAACGGAGGAGCACGAAGGUUGGCUAAUCCUGGUCGGACAUCAGGAGGUUAGUGCAAUGGCAUAAGCCAGCUUGACUGCGAGCGUGACGGCGCGAGCAGGUGCGAAAGCAGGUCAUAGUGAUCCGGUGGUUCUGAAUGGAAGGGCCAUCGCUCAACGGAUAAAAGGUACUCCGGGGAUAACAGGCUGAUACCGCCCAAGAGUUCAUAUCGACGGCGGUGUUUGGCACCUCGAUGUCGGCUCAUCACAUCCUGGGGCUGAAGUAGGUCCCAAGGGUAUGGCUGUUCGCCAUUUAAAGUGGUACGCGAGCUGGGUUUAGAACGUCGUGAGACAGUUCGGUCCCUAUCUGCCGUGGGCGCUGGAGAACUGAGGGGGGCUGCUCCUAGUACGAGAGGACCGGAGUGGACGCAUCACUGGUGUUCGGGUUGUCAUGCCAAUGGCACUGCCCGGUAGCUAAAUGCGGAAGAGAUAAGUGCUGAAAGCAUCUAAGCACGAAACUUGCCCCGAGAUGAGUUCUCCCUGACUCCUUGAGAGUCCUGAAGGAACGUUGAAG
This 2813-nucleotide ribosomal RNA is filed under the name Escherichia coli. RNAcentral's name for it is "partial 23S ribosomal RNA". It matches the Rfam family "Bacterial large subunit ribosomal RNA". Lineage: Bacteria; Pseudomonadati; Pseudomonadota; Gammaproteobacteria; Enterobacterales; Enterobacteriaceae. The record is from RNAcentral.